Sapajus apella (tufted capuchin) is the source of this 1447-nucleotide long non-coding RNA. RefSeq lists it as uncharacterized. The transcript has 2 exons. The record is from RefSeq and is a predicted model, not a curated record. Lineage: Eukaryota; Metazoa; Chordata; Mammalia; Primates; Cebidae.
CCUCCCAAAGUGCUGGGAUUGCAGGUGUGAGCCACUGCUCCCAGCAUGUUCUUCACAGCAUUAAGGUUCUUCAUAGCAUUAAGGUCUGAAAUUAUAUAUUUUUGUGAUUGUAAAAAAAAUACUAUUUCUCUGUACCUUACAUUAAGCUAGCUCCAGAGGCAGUGACAUUAUCUUUCCCCCACCCCUCAGCAUAUGGUGCAUAAAUAUGGUGCAUAGUAUUUCAAACCUACUUGUUUACAACUACCUGAAAAAAGAAAAAGAAAAUAAAUAAAUAAAUAAAUAAAUAAAACCUGCUUGCUAAUGAACACAUGAGGUAUUAUUGGUUGAAAGAUCAUUUUCAUAUGUAGUUAUAGAUUAUUCCCUUGCUGCAGUGAUGUGUCAAAUGGUAGACUUUUUUUUUUUUUUUUUCCUGAGACAGGCUCUCGCUGUAUCACCCAGGCUGGAGUGCAGUGGCGCCUCGGCUCACUGCAGCCUUGUUUUUUGGGGAUCAAGCAAUCCCGUGACCUCAGCCUCCUGAGUAGCUAGGACAAGAGGUACAUGUGCCACCACCUCUAGCUAAUUUUUGUAUUUUUUGUAGAGACAAGGGGUUCACCAUGUUGCUCACACUGGUCUCAAACUCUUGGACUCAAGCAAUUCUCCUGUCUUGGCCUCCCAAAGUUCUGGGAUUAACAGGCGUGAGCCACCAGUGCCCAGCUGGUAGUCUUAUACUCUGAAAAGUUUUUAGAAGGAUUACAGAAUGAAACACAUACUAUGCUUCUCAAAGGUGUGUGACUACUUAUUGUUUUAUUUUCAUUCCUCAGACCUCAAUACAUGACUUGGAGCUCUUCUCUCUUUAUAGUUUUCCUUUGGCUCCCACAUUUGGAAGAAUUUUGCUCUGAUUAUUCAACACCAGUUUUGGUUAAUUUUAAAAUUUAUUAAUGUGGUAACAACUGAAAUAUUAUGAACAUAUUAAUGAAUAAACAAAAUAAGGUACGUGCAUACAAUGGAAUAUUAUUCAGUGUUAAGAAGAUAGAAAAUUCUGAUACAUGCUACAGUAUGGAUGAACCUUGAAAACGUUAUGCUAAAUGAAGUAAUCAGACCCAAAAGUACAAUUAUAUUACUCCACUUACAUGAAAUACCUAGAAUAGGUAAGUUCGUAGAUAGUGAGUGACUAUUGAAUGAGUACAGAAUUUCUGUUAGAGACGUAGACAAGUUCUGAAAAUGGAUGAUGGUGACAACAUUGUCAAUGUACUUAAUGCUACUGAUUAAAAAUGGUUAAAAUGGUAACUUUUAUGUUAUGUGGGUUUUGCUGCAAUCAACCAAUAAAAUGUUUAAAAAGAAGUGGUUAGCUCCUAGCUGAGAAAGAUUCAGGUACUAACCCCUUUAAGAAGUUAGGUGGUAAGAUUGACAAUCAUUUAUCCAAAGUAUGGAAUCCUGAGAAUUAAUUAGAAACAUGAAUUACUUUUUU